GCUUGAGCCAUCUCUUUCGGCCCCUGGGAGUCCAGAAAGUGGUCAUGUAGCUACUCUUUUCAUCCAGUUUGCACUGUAGAAAGGCAUCUCUUGCAUCAACAAGUGUAAAAACCCGUGCUUUAGGCAGUUUGUGCAAAACAUCCUCAAGUGUUGGCAUCAUGUAGUGUGACCUUCUCAGGGCCAUGUUAAGAAACUUUGGAACAAUGCAAAUUCUAAUCUUUUCAGGCUUUCUAAUAACUACCAUGUUGCUUAUCCAGUCAGUUGGCUCUGAUACUGAUGUAAGAUGUCCGUCAGCUUCAUACUUAUCCAGUUG
RNAcentral lists this long non-coding RNA (313 nucleotides) under Pelobates cultripes (western spadefoot toad). Lineage: Eukaryota; Metazoa; Chordata; Amphibia; Anura; Pelobatidae. The record is from RNAcentral.